UACGAAGGGGGCUAGCGUUGCUCGGAAUCACUGGGCGUAAAGGGCGCGUAGGCGGCCAUUCAAGUCGGGGGUGAAAGCCCAGGGCUCAACCCUGGAAUUGCCUUCGAUACUGUUUGGCUGGAGACCGGAAGAGGUAAGUGGAACUGCGAGUGUAGAGGUGAAAUUCGUAGAUAUUCGCAAGAACACCAGUGGCGAAGGCGGCUUACUGGUCCGGUUCUGACGCUGAGGCGCGAAAGCGUGGGGAGCAAACAGG
RNAcentral lists this ribosomal RNA (253 nucleotides) under uncultured bacterium. RNAcentral describes it as "partial 16S ribosomal RNA". It matches the Rfam family "Bacterial small subunit ribosomal RNA", at positions 524 to 776 of the family's 1533-position model. The record is from RNAcentral.